RNAcentral lists this ribosomal RNA (501 nucleotides) under uncultured bacterium. RNAcentral describes it as "partial 16S ribosomal RNA". It matches the Rfam family "Bacterial small subunit ribosomal RNA", at positions 30 to 523 of the family's 1533-position model. The record is from RNAcentral.
AUUGCACGCUGGCGGCAGGCUUAACACAUGCAAGUCGAGCGGGGGAAGGUAGCUUGCUACUGGACCUAGCGGCGGACGGGUGAGUAAUGCUUAGGAAUCUGCCUAUUAGUGGGGGACAACAUCUCGAAAGGGAUGCUAAUACCGCAUACGUCCUACGGGAGAAAGCAGGGGAUCUUCGGACCUUGCGCUAAUAGAUGAGCCUAAGUGGGAUUAGCUAGUUGGUGGGGUAAAGGCCUACCAAGGCGACGAUCUGUAGCGGGUCUGAGAGGAUGAUCCCGCACAGGGGGAGUGGGACACGGCCCAGAAUCCUACGGGAGGCAGCAGUGGGGAAUAUUGGACAAGGGGGGGAACCCUGAUCCAGCCAUGCCGCGUGUGUGAAGAAGGCCUUAUGGUUGUAAAGCACUUUAAGCGAGGAGGAGGCUACUUUAGUUAAUACCUAGAGAUAGUGGACGUUACUCGCAGAAUAAGCACCGGCUAACUCUGUGCCAGCCGCCGCAGUAA